UGAUCUUAGUUGUUUCACCAGGAGUUUUUCCUGUAUUUUGGACAUUUUGUCAAGUAUGAAAAACCCAAUGUUACUCAAGUAUGAAUACACUUUACAGACAAAUAACACUCAUCAUUUAUGAGCCAUUUACGGGACAAACUAACAGUAUCAAUGUAACAAUUUUUAGACCAUACCAAUGCAAAUGGAAAAUAUUCACGGAAAAAAGAAAGCCAUACAUAUUUGGAGCGAUAUGGGGAUGAUGAGUGCAGUUAUGAUGAGAACAGCCACACACAGUAACACCAGCACACUGAUAACUACAGACAGACUGAGGGAUCCUGGGUCACAUUCAGCCACAUCUGAAUAUGGGGGCGGAAAAAUAACAGUGAGAUAAUCAGCAGGAAAAUAAAUUUUUCUUCUGCGCUGAUCACUAAACUCUUCCUCAUCUGGUAAGUUCCAUCUCUGUUGGGCAGAAUCUCUCCUCCUGUGAUCUGAUCAUCAUCCACAGGCUGACCAUCUCUGAACAGAGUCAGGUUAAUGUGACGGGGGUAAAAACCAG
This is a long non-coding RNA of Ctenopharyngodon idella (grass carp), 535 nucleotides long. RefSeq lists it as uncharacterized. Lineage: Eukaryota; Metazoa; Chordata; Actinopteri; Cypriniformes; Xenocyprididae. The record is from RefSeq and is a predicted model, not a curated record. The transcript is spliced from 3 exons.